This 822-nucleotide ribosomal RNA is filed under the name uncultured Bacteroidota bacterium. RNAcentral describes it as "bacterial SSU rRNA". It matches the Rfam family "Bacterial small subunit ribosomal RNA", at positions 57 to 877 of the family's 1533-position model. Lineage: Bacteria; Pseudomonadati; Bacteroidota. The record is from RNAcentral.
GGCAGUCGAGGGGUAACGAUACUUUCGGGUAGUCGACGACCGGCGCACGGGUGAGUAACGCGAUAUGCAACCUACCCAUUGCUGGAGCAUAGGCCGAAGAAAUUCGGAUUAAUACUCCAUAAUAUCAUUAGAUCACAUGCUUCUUAUGAUUAAAGUUCCGGCGGCAAUGGAUGGGCAUGCGUGACAUUAGUUUGUUGGUGAGGUAACGGCUCACCAAGACUUUGAUGUCUAGGGGGUCUUAAAGGAUGAUCCCCCACACUGGUACUGAGACACGGACCAGACUCCUACGGGAGGCAGCAGUGAGGAAUAUUGGUCAAUGGGCGAAAGCCUGAACCAGCCAAUCCGCGUGCAGGAUGACGGCCCUAUGGGUUGUAAACUGCUUUUAUACGGGAAGAACUCCCUGACGUGUCAGGGGCUGACGGUACCGUAUGAAUAAGCAUCGGCUAACUCCGUGCCAGCAGCCGCGGUAAUACGGAGGAUGCAAGCGUUAUCCGGAUUUAUUAGGUUUAAAGGGUGCGUAGGCGGAAUGGUCAGUCAGUGGUGAAAUCCUACAGCUUAACUGUAGAACUGCCAUUGAUACUGCUAUUCUUGAGUUCAGUUGAGGUAGGCGGAAUGUGUAGUGUAGCGGUGAAAUGCUUAGAUAUUUCACAGAACACCGAUUGCGAAGGCAGCUUACUAAACUGACACUGACGCUGAGGCACGAAAGCGUGGGGAGCGAACAGGAUUAGAUACCCUGGUAGUCCACGCCGUAAACGAUGAUCACUCGUUGUAUGCUUAUAUUUAGUAUGCGACCGAGCGAAAGUAUUAAGUGAUCCACCUGGG